CCUGCUGUAGCUCAGUGGUAGAGCGCCGGUUUGUGACGCCGGAGACUGCGGUUCGAACCGCAUGGUGGGACCA
RNAcentral lists this transfer RNA (73 nucleotides) under Rhodococcus (subgen. Prescottella) equi. RNAcentral's name for it is "Prescottella equi tRNA-His". It matches the Rfam family "tRNA". From Rfam's summary of the family: Transfer RNA (tRNA) molecules are approximately 80 nucleotides in length. Lineage: Bacteria; Bacillati; Actinomycetota; Actinomycetes; Mycobacteriales; Nocardiaceae. The record is from RNAcentral.